CGGCGAUUAAAUGUCUCACAGCUUAGACACCUUGAGGGGGGAAAAGACUGAGGAAGAGAAAAGGGAGAGAGAGAGAUUAAGUUGAGGAGGGAGGGAGGCAGAGGGAGGCCCCUCAUGAGAAAGAAAUAUGGGAAAAGGUGGGUGUUCUUUCCUCCUGACGACUGACAGCUCUGUUGUUGCUUCUGCAGUGGUCCGAAUAACUGAGACCAGAGGGCUCUGAGGGCGUGACUGGCCGGCCGGCUGGCACCGCUAACCUUGCGGGCGCUUGUGGAGCUUCUCAACCUCGAAAACAUUUGAGCACAUUUUCGAUUCGCCAUCAACUUUCAUAAAACUGCCAAUAUUCAAAUCCUACAAAGUUGAUUUCUUGCCUCAAAACCGCUCAAAAGUGUAUUUAGUGACGAAAUAGUUUACAAAACUUUCUGCCGUUAGCUUCUUUCUCCAUUGCUUUCCGCCCCUUGCAUGAAAGCAGAGUAGUCUUGGCAGACAGUGGAAGUGAUACUAGCAUCCUUAGCAUUCCAUGUAGUGCAUUGCUGUUGCACAACCAGAAAUGUUCUUGUAUGUAUGUAAUGUAUCUCUCCCUUAAACAGCAUCUCUGUAAUGACUUGUGAAAAUGAAUGAAUAUGAAAUUUCACGUCAAGUUUUUAUAAUCGACGUCGUCCAUUACGUCGACUAAUCGUUGCAGCCCUAAUUCUUUGUAAUCUGUGUCUCUUCCCAUUUCAUGUUCACACAGUUCAUGUUGACCUCUCAUAGGUCGCAUGAAGCCAGCAAGCCCUGUCUGAUAGGAUUACAGCAGUAAGCGCUUGUAUUUGCAAGUAGCUGUAUCUGGCUGUU
Micropterus dolomieu (smallmouth bass) is the source of this 831-nucleotide long non-coding RNA. RefSeq lists it as uncharacterized. The record is from RefSeq and is a predicted model, not a curated record. The transcript is spliced from 3 exons. NCBI's taxonomy places the organism in Eukaryota, Metazoa, Chordata, Actinopteri, Centrarchiformes, Centrarchidae.